Alnus glutinosa is the source of this 647-nucleotide long non-coding RNA. RefSeq lists it as uncharacterized. The record is from RefSeq and is a predicted model, not a curated record. NCBI's taxonomy places the organism in Eukaryota, Viridiplantae, Streptophyta, Magnoliopsida, Fagales, Betulaceae. The transcript is spliced from 2 exons.
UUUGUAGUAGUUAUAUGUCUCCAGAGUAUGCAAUGCAUGGACGAUUCUCUGUUUAGUCCGAUGUAUUUAGCUUUGGCGUCCUACUUCUAGAGAUUAUCAGUGGUAAAAUGAACAAUUGUUUCUACCAAUCAGAACAUGAUGAGGACCUCUUAAGCUUUAUAUGGAAACAGUGGAAGAAUGGAAACCCCCUUGAAACUGUUGGAUCCAACAUUGAGAGAUUCAUUUUCAAAAAACGAAGUCAUUAGAUGCAUCCAUAUUGGCUUAUUGUGUGUUCAGGAGGAUCCAGCCAGCCGACCAACAAUGGCAACAGUUGUUCUCAUGCUCGACAGUCACUCUGUGAGCCUGCAGUUGCCGCAGCAGCCGGCAUUUUUGUUUCGGAGAAAAGCAAAGAGGAACAUGAAUACAAAGGAAGCAGGGCAUGAUGAUUCUACAACCCAAUCAGUUCCAUAUUCUGUUGAUGACGCAUCGAUCACCCAAAUACACCCUCGAUAGUGUGAGGAAGCGAGGUGUUGUCUGUCUUGGUGUUAUUUGCUACCUAGAAUUUAAACUUUGGUCGAACAUAUGUACAUUCAUAUAUAAACAUAGACGCCCGUUUAAAAGUAGAUGUGCCUAAUAAAAUGCAGAAGUGAAAACAAAUAUAUUUGAAU